GUCGAUUAUAAUUUGCUUCGAUAAGAGACUCGAUGUAACGGGGGUGUAAUUUCUUGCACCAUCAAAGAAAAAAGAAGAAAUUUACAACUGAUUACAGUUGAUACAGUAAUUCCGCAAAAGAAAAGGGGAGCGUCCUUACUCUUUCAUCGAACAUCGCUAUGCUAUGGAAUUGUUACCACCACAAAACCCUUUACGAAGAAUUUAACAGUUGAACAUGUUCUGUUAUUGCAUCAGGACAUGACUGAGCUUGAAGAAGCUCUAAACGAGCAGAAUGUGGCGUAAACUGCAAUAUGUAGUCUUCAUUUUCUUUUACUGUCCCGUAGAGCCAGCACAAGACUUCAUCUGCAAAUGCUAAGCACACUCCACCCUGCCAGUAAUUUUUCAUUUUUACUCUGUGUGUAAUAUCUUUAGUUCUCAAUCUUUCUGUGCGGACAAGACGACCAGCAUCAUCCCUAAAACCAACAACAAUAUAAGGUACACCCGCGAGAAAUGACUGGAUCCAAAACUUGAGCAAUUUCUCCCUCUCGUAUUUUUCCUCGGUAUGAUAUUCCAGCUCGCGACUAGUCUUUAAUUCCACAUAAAACCUCCUCCCAUCAUCAGUUGAAUCACAGCAGUCCAUUUCAGCCCCCAUUAAAACACGAUGUGCUCCUAAUUUUGUCUUAACUACAGAACAAAACUCAACAUUGGCAUCAACAUGAUGU
RNAcentral lists this unclassified non-coding RNA (701 nucleotides) under Hevea brasiliensis (rubber tree). The record is from RNAcentral. Lineage: Eukaryota; Viridiplantae; Streptophyta; Magnoliopsida; Malpighiales; Euphorbiaceae.